Molecule: long non-coding RNA, 1542 nt
Organism: Dunckerocampus dactyliophorus (ringed pipefish)
Lineage: Eukaryota; Metazoa; Chordata; Actinopteri; Syngnathiformes; Syngnathidae
Exons: 5
Source: RefSeq, a predicted model, not a curated record
CAAUAAACAGGCAAUCACGUGAGCUCAGCAUUACAAAAUGGACGGGAGUAACUCUGUAGAAGUGGAUGACUUGAGGCGACAGUGCAGCUUAAAUUCAAAUAUGGAGUGUUGGACUUAGUAAGAAGCAUUCACUAUGAAGACGGCACAAAUGGCCACUCCAAGUGGUUGCGCCUGACUUUUCGCAACACAUUGAAACCAAGUGGAACAGGAUGGAGAGCUAAAACUCCAUGACUAGAUAAGUGAAGCAUCUGGGGAUGGCAGAAAGAUGUUGAUUGUCCUGAGGAAGAAUAUUAACUGACUGUCCAGAUACUUGUGGUGUCUCUGCCAGAGAAUGUUACCCUGUGGAUCAACAGCCUUGUGGUUUACACUGAAGAGCAUCCGGGGAUGGCAGAAAGUUUUUGAUUCUUCGAAGACUCGGCCUACUGUCCUGAUGACAAACUACUUGGUUUGAGGUUUGUAAUAUUGUUGGAGCAAUUGUCAAUGUUAUUAAAUCCUGCAAAUGCUAACGUUGCUAUGUAAGAAAUAAGUGCUGACAUGUUUGAAGUACUUGAUUCAUUUUUGUGUUGCAACUGAACUUUAACUUUAGCUUUAGACUACUUCACAAAAACGUCUUUAUAAAUCAUAUUCCUUGGGUCUGACUGAAGAUUUGCACUCAGACUGAUGUGCAGUCACAGUAGACCCAUCCUGAUGACCUGUGAUGACACUUAACUGUGCACAGGGGCCAUCUGAAUUAGGGGUGUCCUGAUCUGAUACUGAUAUCGAGCCGAUAUCGGCAAAAAAAAACAAACCCUGAUUAUAUCAGCCUGCAUCUAAGCAGUCGAUUCCGGACUCUGCCCCAGCACAUCUACUGUAUGUAGCAGCGGCCAGAUAGAAGCUGUGUGAUGGCAUGUGCCAAUGUAGCAAGGAGCAGGAGUGUGUAUUUUUCGUUAGUAUGAAAAAGACGUUGCAGCUGAGUGCAAAACUUGUUAUGCAUAAAUUUCCCAUGGAUGCACAGAACCGAGGAAGUUUAAUAUGACCAAACUCACUGCGCACUUGAAGCAGCAUCACAUGGGAAAGUUCCCUGGGACGACAAGAAGUAAUUGGCAAUGUCAGCAAAGAUGACCAGUGCCUGUGGGAGGUGUGUAAAGUCGGGUUUAAUGCUUAGUUGAGCUCCUCGAACCUCAUUUUAUUAUGCCCAGCUGCCACUGUACUGUUGAUAAAACUAUACUCCACAUGCAUAGAGAAGUAAAUGGGUCAGUUUUUCCUCAUACCUACUGUUGCUGGUUAUUCUCUUUGGGUAAUAUCACUUGGUCAAGACUUUGCUAACAUGCCACACUACAAAAUAAGUAAUAAUGAUUGGUGCUGAUAACAGAUUGAUAUUGGUACUUCUGAUAUUCAAAGAUGCAAUAUCUGUAUCGGAUUGGAAGUGAAAAAGUUGUAUCAGGACACCCCCAAUCUGAAUCCCCACCCCACACCUGGCAGAAGAGUUGUGCACAGUUAGUUGGUAUAGUUGGAAUUACUGACCAUGCUUUUGUAGUUCUCUGCAAUAAAGGUUUUGACAAA